GUAGCCUAGUGGUUAGAGUGUAGAGGAGGCAGGUAGCCUAGUGGUUAGAGUGUAGAGGAGGCAGGUAGCCUAGUGGUUAGAGUGUAGAGGAGGCAGGUAGCCUAGUGGUUAGAGUGUAGAGGCGGCAGGUAGUCUAGUGGUUAGAGUGUAGAGGAGGCAGGUAGUCUAGUGGUUAGAGUGUAGAGGAGGCAGGUAGUCUAGUGGUUAGAGUGUAGAGGAGGCAGUGUAGCCUAGUGGUUAGAGUGUAGAGGAGGCAGGUAGUCUAGUGGUUAGAGUGUAGAGGAGGCAGGUAGUCUAGUGGUUAGAGUGUAGAGGCGGCAGGUAGUCUAGUGGUUAGAGUGGAGAGGCGGCAGGUAGUCUAGUGGUUAGAGUGUAGAGGAGGCAGGUAGUCUAGUGGGUAGAGUGUAGAGGAGGCAGGUAGCCUAGUGGUUAGAGUGUAGAGGAGGCAGGUAGCCUAGUGGUUAGAGUGUAGAGGAGGCAGGUAGUCUAGUGGUUAGAGUGUAGAGGAGGCAGGUAGUCUAGUGGUUAGAGUGUAGAGGAGGCAGGGUAGCCUAGUGGUUAGAGUGUAGAGGUGGCAGGUAGCCUAGUGGUUAGAGUGUAGAGGAGGCAGGUAGCCUAGUGGUUAGAGUGUAGAGGAGGCAGGUAGCCUAGUGGUUAGAGUGUAGAGGAGGCAGGGUAGCCUAGUGGUUAGAGUGUAGAGGCGGCAGGUAGUCUAGUGGUUAGAGUGUAGAGGAGGCAGGUAGUCUAGUGGUUAGAGUGUAGAGGAGGCAGGUAGUCUAGUGGUUAGAGUGUAGAGGAGGCAGGUAGACUAGUGGUUAGAGUGUAGAGGAGGCAGGUAGCCUAGUGGUUAGAGUGUAGAGGAGGCAGGUAGUCUAGUGGUUAGAGUGUAGAGGCGGCAGGUAGUCUAGUGGUUAGAGUGUAGAGGCGGCAGGUAGUCUAGUGGUUAGAGUGUAGAGGAGGCAGGUAGUCUAGUGGUUAGAGUGUAGAGGAGGCAGGUAGCCUAGUGGUUAGAGUGUAGAGGAGGCAGGUAGCCUAGUGGUUAGAGUGUAGAGGAGGCAGGUAGUCUAGUGGUUAGAGUGUAGAGGAGGCAGGUAGUCUAGUGGGUAGAGUGUAGAGGAGGCAGGUAGUCUAGUGGUUAGAGUGUAGAGGAGGCAGGGUAGCCUAGUGGUUAGAGUGUAGAGGUGGCAGGUAGCCUAGUGGUUAGAGUGUAGAGGAGGCAGGUAGUCUAGUGGUUAGAGUGUAGAGGAGGCAGGUAGUCUAGUGGUUAGAGUGUAGAGGAGGCAGGUAGCCUAGUGGUUAGAGUGUAGAGGAGGCAGGUAGUCUAGUGGUUAGAGUGUAGAGGAGGCAGGUAGUCUAGUGGUUAGAGUGUAGAGGAGGCAGGUAGCCUAGUGGUUAGAGUGUAGAGGAGGCAGGUAGCCUAGUGGUUAGAGUGUAGAGGAGGCAGGUAGUCUAGUGGUUAGAGUGUAGAGGAGGCAGGUAGUCUAGUGGUUAGAGUGUAGAGGAGGCAGGUAGUCUAGUGGUUAGAGUGUAGAGGAGGCAGGGUAGCCUAGUGGUUAGAGUGUAGAGGUGGCAGGUAGCCUAGUGGUUAGAGUGUAGAGGAGGCAGGUAUUCUAGUGGUUAGAGUGUAGAGGAGGCAGGUAGUCUAGUGGUUAGAGUGUAGAGGAGGCAGGGUAGCCUAGUGGUUAGAGUGUAGAGGUGGCAGGUAGCCUAGUGGUUAGAGUGUAGAGGAGGCAGGUAGCCUAGUGGUUAGAGUGUGGAGGAGGCAGGUAGUCUAGUGGUUAGAGUGUAGAGGAGGCAGGUAGCCUAGUGGUUAGAGUGUAGAGGAGGCAGGGUAGCCUAGUGGUUAGAGUGUAGAGGAGGCAGGUAGUCUAGUGGUUAGAGUGUAGAGGAGGCAGGGUAGUCUAGUGGUUAGAGUGUAGAGGAGGCAGGGUAGCCUAGUGGUUAGAGUGUAGAGGAGGUAGGUAGUCUAGUGGUUAGAGUGUAGAGGAGGCAGGUAGCCUAGUGGUUAGAGUGUAGAGGAGGCAGGGUAGCCUAGUGGUUAGAGUGUAGAGGAGGUAGGUAGUCUAUUGGUUAGAGUGUAGAGGAGGCAGGUAGCCUAGUGGUUAGAGUGUAGAGGCGGCAGGGUAGCCUAGUGGUUAGAGUGUAGAGGCGGCAGGGUAGCCUAGUGGUUAGAGUGUAGAGGAGGCAGGUAGCCUAGUGGUUAGAGUGUAGAGGCGGCAGGGUAGCCUAGUGGUUAGAGUGUAGAGGAGGCAGGUAGCCUAGUGGUUAGAGUGUAGAGGUGGUAGGUAGCCUAGUGGUUAGAGUGUAGAGGAGGCAGGGUAGCCUAGUGGUUAGAGUGUAGAGGUGGCAGGGUAGCCUAGUGGUUAGAGUGUAGAGGAGGCAGGUAGCCUAGUGGUUAGAGUGUAGAGGCGGCAGGGUAGUCUAGUGGUUAGAGUGUAGAGGAGGCAGGUAGUCUAGUGGUUAGAGUGUAGAGGAGGCAGGUAGCCUAGUGGUUAGAGUGUAGAGGAGGCAGGUAGUCUAGUGGUUAGAGUGUAGAGGAGGCAGGUAGCCUAGUGGUUAGAGUGUAGAGGAGGCAGGUAGUCUAGUGGUUAGAGUGUAGAGGGGGCAGGUAGUCUAGUGGUUAGAGUGUAGAGGAGGCAGGUAGUCUAGUGGUUAGAGUGUAGAGGAGGCAGGUAGCCUAGUGGUUAGAGUGUAGAGGAGGCAGGUAGUCUAGUGGUUAGAGUGUAGAGGGGGCAGGUAGUCUAGUGGUUAGAGUGUAGAGGUGGCAGGGUAGCCUAGUGGUUAGAGUGUAGAGGAGGCAGGUAGCCUAGUGUUUAGAGUGUAGAGGAGGCAGGUAGCCUAGUGGUUAGAGUGUAGGGGCAGCAGGGUAGCCUAGUGGUUAGAGUGUAGAGGAGGCAGGUAGUCUAGUGGUUAGAGUGUAGAGGGGGCAGGUAGUCUAGUGGUUAGAGUGUAGAGGUGGCAGGGUAGCCUAGUGGUUAGAGUGUAGAGGAGGCAGGUAGUCUAGUGGUUAGAGUGUAGAGGAGGCAGGUAGUCUAGUGGUUAGAGUGUAGAGGUGGCAGGGUAGUCUAGUGGUUAGAGUGUAGAGGAGGCAGGUAGUCUAGUGGUUAGAGUGUAGAGGUGGCAGGGUAGUCUAGUGGUUAGAGUGUAGAGGAGGCAGGUAGUCUAGUGGUUAGAGUGUAGAGGAGGCAGGUAGCCUAGUGGUUAGAGUGUAGAGGAGGCAGGUAGCCUAGUGGUUAGAGUGUAGAGGUGGUAGGUAGCCUAGUGGUUAGAGUGUAGAGGAGGCAGGGUAGCCUAGUGGUUAGAGUGUAGAGGCGGCAGGGUAGCCUAGUGGUUAGAGUGUAGAGGAGGCAGGUAGCCUAGUGGUUAGAGUGUAGAGGUGGCAGGUAGCCUAGUGGUUAGAGUGUAGAGGGGGCAGGGUAGCCUAGUGGUUAGAGUGGAGAGGAGGAAGGGUAGCCUAGUGGUUAGAGUGUAGAGGGGGCAGGGUAGCCUAGUGGUUAGAGUGUAGAGGAGGCAGGUAGCCUAGUGGUUAGAGUGUAGAGGCGGCAGGGUAGCCUAGUGGUUAGAGUGUAGAGGAGGCAGGUAGCCUAGUGGUUAGAGUGUAGAGGGGGCAGGUAGCCUAGUGGUUAGAGUGUAGAGGAGGCAGGUAGCCUAGUGGUUAGAGCGUUGGGCCAGUCACUGAAAAGUUGCAAGAUCAAUUCCCCGAGCCGACAAGGUACAAAUCUGUUGUUCUGCCCCUGAACAAGGCAGUUAACCCACUGUUCCCCUGAACAAGGCAGUUAACCCACUGUUCGCCUGAACAAGGCAGUUAACCCACUGUUCCCCUGAACAAGGCAGUUAACCCACUGUUCCCCUGAACAAGGCAGUUAACCCACUGUUCCCCUGAACAAGGCAGUUAACCCACUGUUCGCCUGAACAAGGCAGUUAACCCACUGUUCCCCUGAACAAGGCAGUUAACCCACUGUUCCCCUGAACAAGGCAGUUAACCCACUGUUCCCCUGAACAAGGCAGUUAACCCACUGUUCCCCUGAACAAGGCAGUUACCCCACUGUUCCCCUGAACAAGGCAGUUAACCCACUGUUCCCCUGAACAAGGCAGUUAACCCACUGUUCCCCUGAACAAGGCAG
Molecule: long non-coding RNA, 4124 nt
Organism: Oncorhynchus keta (chum salmon)
Lineage: Eukaryota; Metazoa; Chordata; Actinopteri; Salmoniformes; Salmonidae
Exons: 4
Source: RefSeq, a predicted model, not a curated record